GAAAUGCGAUAAGUAGUGUGAAUUGCAGAAUUCAGUGAAUCAUCGAAUCUUUGAACGCACAUUGCGCCCCUUGGUAUUCCAUGGGGCAUGCCUGUUCGAGCGUCAUCUACACCCUCAAGCUCUGCUUGGUGUUGGGCGUCUUUGUCCCGCCUCCGCGCGCGGACUCGCCCCAAAUUCAUUGGCAGCGGUCCUUGCCUCCUCUCGCGCAGCACAUUGCGCUUCUCGAGGUGUUGCGGCCCGCGCCCAGAAAGCAAUCGUUACCGUCUUUGACCUCGGAUCAGGUAGGGAUACCCGCUGAACUUAAGC
This 306-nucleotide unclassified non-coding RNA is filed under the name plant metagenome. RNAcentral describes it as "partial contains 5.8S ribosomal RNA, internal transcribed spacer 2, and large subunit ribosomal RNA". The stretch from base 1 to 105 matches the Rfam family "5.8S ribosomal RNA", at positions 50 to 154 of the family's 154-position model. The record is from RNAcentral.